GCUGGGCGCGGUGGCUCACACCUGUAAUCCCAGAGGCUCAGGGGGCUGGGGCAGGAGGAUCAUGGGUUCAAAGCCAGCCUCAGCAACAGCGAGGUGCUCAGCAGCUCAGUGAGACCCUGCCUCUC
Molecule: small RNA, 125 nt
Filed under: Marmota monax (woodchuck)
Lineage: Eukaryota; Metazoa; Chordata; Mammalia; Rodentia; Sciuridae
Source: RNAcentral